GGGCGCAAGCCUGAUGCAGCGACGCCGCGUGAGGGAUGGAGGCCUUCGGGUUGUAAACCUCUUUUGUUAGGGAGCAAGGCACUUUGUGUUGAGUGUACCUUUCGAAUAAGCACCGGCUAACUACGUGCCAGCAGCCGCGGUAAUACGUAGGGUGCAAGCGUUAUCCGGAAUUAUUGGGCGUAAAGGGCUCGUAGGCGGUUCGUCGCGUCCGGUGUGAAAGUCCAUCGCUUAACGGUGGAUCUGCGCCGGGUACGGGCGGGCUUGAGUGCGGUAGGGGAGACUGGAAUUCCCGGUGUAACGGUGGAAUGUGUAGAUAUCGGGAAGAACACC
RNAcentral lists this ribosomal RNA (330 nucleotides) under uncultured bacterium. Its description in RNAcentral is "bacterial SSU rRNA". It matches the Rfam family "Bacterial small subunit ribosomal RNA", at positions 373 to 710 of the family's 1533-position model. The record is from RNAcentral.